UUUACGGAGAGUUUGAUCCUGGCUCAGGAUGAACGCUGGCGGCGUGCUUAACACAUGCAAGUCGAACGAUGAAGCCCAGCUUGCUGGGUGGAUUAGUGGCGAACGGGUGAGUAACACGUGAGUAACCUGCCCUUAACUCUGGGAUAAGCCUGGGAAACUGGGUCUAAUACCGGAUAGGAGCGCCUACCGCAUGGUGGGUGUUGGAAAGAUUUAUCGGUUUUGGAUGGACUCGCGGCCUAUCAGCUUGUUGGUGAGGUAAUGGCUCACCAAGGCGACGACGGGUAGCCGGCCUGAGAGGGUGACCGGCCACACUGGGACUGAGACACGGCCCAGACUCCUACGGGAGGCAGCAGUGGGGAAUAUUGCACAAUGGGCGCAAGCCUGAUGCAGCGACGCCGCGUGAGGGAUGACGGCCUUCGGGUUGUAAACCUCUUUCAGUAGGGAAGAAGCGAAA
RNAcentral lists this ribosomal RNA (454 nucleotides) under Micrococcus luteus. RNAcentral's name for it is "bacterial SSU rRNA". It matches the Rfam family "Bacterial small subunit ribosomal RNA", at positions 1 to 455 of the family's 1533-position model. The record is from RNAcentral. Lineage: Bacteria; Bacillati; Actinomycetota; Actinomycetes; Micrococcales; Micrococcaceae.